Molecule: unclassified non-coding RNA, 219 nt
Filed under: Hevea brasiliensis (rubber tree)
Lineage: Eukaryota; Viridiplantae; Streptophyta; Magnoliopsida; Malpighiales; Euphorbiaceae
Source: RNAcentral
AUAGUUAUAUACAUAGGACAUUAAAUAUUUUAACAAAUUUUGAAUAAUUAUGCGGCCAAUUGGACAGGAAAUCUUAAUGUUUCAUCUUCGCUAUCUUAAGUACAAAAACCAAAAUAAACUAGAACUACACCACUCAUAAGCUUCAUUUUCACUUUUUCUCAAGUCUCAACUUUAGUGGGCCCCUUUUUCUUUGGAAACAAAAGGAAGACUAAAGAAAAG